This 299-nucleotide ribosomal RNA is filed under the name uncultured Streptococcus sp. Its description in RNAcentral is "partial 16S ribosomal RNA". It matches the Rfam family "Bacterial small subunit ribosomal RNA", at positions 497 to 795 of the family's 1533-position model. The record is from RNAcentral. Lineage: Bacteria; Bacillati; Bacillota; Bacilli; Lactobacillales; Streptococcaceae.
GUAAGUCCGGUCUGGCAUGCGCGGUAAAACGUGGUAUCGUAGCGUAGUCCGUAAUGAUUGGUUUGAAUGGGUCCUGAGGCUAGCUGAUGAGUGGUCGGUGUAAGUUUUUGGCUUAACGAAAAAAUGGCCAUUGAUACUGUAGGGCUUUAGUGUUUUUGAAUUAACUAGAAUAUGUAGUGUAGCGGUUAAAUGCUUAGAUAUUACAUGGAAUACCAAGUGCUAAGGCAGGUUACUAACAAUGGAUUGACGCUGAUGGACGAAAGCGUUGGUAGCGAACAGGAUUAGAUACCCCAGUAGUC